Molecule: transfer RNA, 72 nt
Filed under: Cyanobacteria bacterium bin.275
Lineage: Bacteria; Bacillati; Cyanobacteriota
Description: tRNA-Val
Rfam family: tRNA
About the family: Transfer RNA (tRNA) molecules are approximately 80 nucleotides in length. Their secondary structure includes four short double-helical elements and three loops (D, anti-codon, and T loops). Further hydrogen bonds mediate the characteristic L-shaped molecular structure. tRNAs have two regions of fundamental functional importance: the anti-codon, which is responsible for specific mRNA codon recognition, and the 3' end, to which the tRNAs corresponding amino acid is attached (by aminoacyl-tRNA synthetases). tRNAs cope with the degeneracy of the genetic code in two manners: having more than one tRNA (with a specific anti-codon) for a particular amino acid; and 'wobble' base-pairing, i.e. permitting non-standard base-pairing at the 3rd anti-codon position.
Source: RNAcentral
GGGCGAUUAGCAAAGCGGUAGCGCACUUCCUUAACACGGAAGGGGUCACUGGUUCGAAUCCAGUAUCGCCCA